UGUCAAGUCCUCAUGGCCCUUAUGGGUAGGGCUUCACACGUCAUACAAUGGCCGGUACAGAGGGUUGCCAACCCGCGAGGGGGAGCCAAUCCCAGAAAGCCGGUCGUAGUCCGGAUUGCAGUCUGCAACUCGACUGCAUGAAGUCGGAAUCGCUAGUAAUCGCGGAUCAGCAUGUCGCGGUGAAUACGUUCCCGGGUCUU
This 200-nucleotide ribosomal RNA is filed under the name uncultured prokaryote. RNAcentral's name for it is "partial 16S ribosomal RNA". It matches the Rfam family "Bacterial small subunit ribosomal RNA", at positions 1183 to 1382 of the family's 1533-position model. The record is from RNAcentral.